RNAcentral lists this ribosomal RNA (418 nucleotides) under uncultured bacterium. RNAcentral's name for it is "bacterial SSU rRNA". It matches the Rfam family "Bacterial small subunit ribosomal RNA", at positions 28 to 443 of the family's 1533-position model. The record is from RNAcentral.
GAUGAACGCUGGCGGCGUGCUUAACACAUGCAAGUCGAGCGAUGAAGUUUCCUUCGGGAAACGGAUUAGCGGCGGACGGGUGAGUAACACGUGGGUAACCUGCCUCAUAGAGUGGAAUAGCCUUUCGAAAGGAAGAUUAAUACCGCAUAACGUUGAAAGAUGGCAUCAUCAUUUAACCAAAGGAGCAAUCCGCUAUGAGAUGGACCCGCGGCGCAUUAGCUAGUUGGUGGGGUAACGGCCUACCAAGGCGACGAUGCGUAGCCGACCUGAGAGGGUGAUCGGCCACAUUGGGACUGAGACACGGCCCAGACUCCUACGGGAGGCAGCAGUGGGGAAUAUUGCACAAUGGGGGAAACCCUGAUGCAGCAACGCCGCGUGAGUGAUGAAGGUUUUCGGAUCGUAAAGCUCUGUCUUUGGG